This 422-nucleotide ribosomal RNA is filed under the name uncultured bacterium. RNAcentral describes it as "bacterial SSU rRNA". It matches the Rfam family "Bacterial small subunit ribosomal RNA", at positions 355 to 774 of the family's 1533-position model. The record is from RNAcentral.
UGAGGAAUAUUGGGCAAUGCCCGCAAGGGUGACCCAGCAACGCCGCGUGGAGGAUGAAUGUCGUAAGAUUGUAAACUCCUGUUAGAGGGGAAGAAUAGUACCGGUUGGACCGGUAUAUGACUGUACCCUCAGAGAAAGCCCCGGCUAACUACGUGCCAGCAGCCGCGGUAAUACGUAGGGGGCAAGCGUUGUCCGGAUUUACUGGGUGUAAAGGGCGCGCAGGCGGGAUAAAAAGUCAGUGGUGAAAUCCUACAGCUUAACUGUAGAACUGCCUUUGAUACUUUUAUUCUUGAGUUCGGGAGAGAGAGACAGAAUUCCAGGUGUAGUGGUGAAAUACGUAGAUAUCUGGAAGAACACCAGUUGCGAAGGCGGUCUCUUGGUCCGACACUGACGCUGAGGCGCGAAAGCGUGGGGAGCAAACA